Molecule: transfer RNA, 73 nt
Filed under: Vicugna pacos (alpaca)
Lineage: Eukaryota; Metazoa; Chordata; Mammalia; Artiodactyla; Camelidae
Description: tRNA-Thr (AGT) (tRNA-Thr-AGT-37-1)
Rfam family: tRNA
About the family: Transfer RNA (tRNA) molecules are approximately 80 nucleotides in length. Their secondary structure includes four short double-helical elements and three loops (D, anti-codon, and T loops). Further hydrogen bonds mediate the characteristic L-shaped molecular structure. tRNAs have two regions of fundamental functional importance: the anti-codon, which is responsible for specific mRNA codon recognition, and the 3' end, to which the tRNAs corresponding amino acid is attached (by aminoacyl-tRNA synthetases). tRNAs cope with the degeneracy of the genetic code in two manners: having more than one tRNA (with a specific anti-codon) for a particular amino acid; and 'wobble' base-pairing, i.e. permitting non-standard base-pairing at the 3rd anti-codon position.
Source: RNAcentral
GGAGGGUAUAGCUCAGUGGUAGAGUGUGUGCUUAGUAUGCAUAAGGUCCUGGGUUCAAUUCCCAGUACCUCCC